GAUUGAACGCUGGCGGCAGGCCUACCCCCUGCAAGUCGAGCGGAUGAAGGGAGCCUGCUCCUGGAUUCAGCGGCGGACGGGUGAGUAAUGCCUAGGAAUCUGCCUGGUAGUGGGGGAUAACGUCCGUAAACGGGCGCUAAUACCGCAUACGUCCUGAGGGAGAAAGUGGGGGAUCUUCGGACCUCACGCUAUCAGAUGAGCCUAGGUCGGAUUAGCUAGUUGGUGGGGUAAAGGCCUACCAAGGCGACGAUCCGUAACUGGUCUGAGAGGAUGAUCAGUCACACUGGAACUGGGACACGGUCCGGACUCCUACGGGAGGCAGCAGUGGGGAAUAUUGGACGAUGGGCGAAAGCCUGAUCCAGCCAUGCCGCGUGUGUGAAGAAGGUCUUCGGAUUGUAAAGCACUUUAAGUUGGGAGGAAGGGCAGUAAGUUAAUACCUUGCUGUUUUGACGUUACCAACAGAAUAAGCACCGGCUAACUUCGUG
This 485-nucleotide ribosomal RNA is filed under the name uncultured bacterium. Its description in RNAcentral is "partial 16S ribosomal RNA". It matches the Rfam family "Bacterial small subunit ribosomal RNA", at positions 27 to 507 of the family's 1533-position model. The record is from RNAcentral.